Molecule: ribosomal RNA, 253 nt
Filed under: uncultured bacterium
Lineage: Bacteria
Description: partial 16S ribosomal RNA
Rfam family: Bacterial small subunit ribosomal RNA
Source: RNAcentral
UACGUAGGGGGCAAGCGUUGUCCGGAUUUAUUGGGCGUAAAGAGCGUGUAGGCGGCCAGACAGGUCCGUUGUGAAAACUCGAGGCUCAACCUCGAGAUGGCGAUGGAAACCGUCUGGCUAGAGUCCGGAAGAGGAGUGUGGAAUUCCUGGUGUAGCGGUGAAAUGCGCAGAUAUCAGGAAGAACACCUAUGGCGAAGGCAGCACUCUGGGACGGUACUGACGCUGAGACGCGAAAGCGUGGGGAGCGAACAGG